AAAAAAUACUUGUAGGUAUGAUGGAGCCUUCUAAAAUGGAAAGAAUUUAUCUGUCUCUGUCCGAAGUAAUCCGCUGAAAUGCAAUCUGGGGAUUAUAAAGGGUCAGAUGUUGCCUUUAUAAUAACAAACACCCAGCAACUAGAGGAAUAAAAGUGAGAAGCUCAAGGAAAGAGUUCCCACUUGUCUGUAAGAUUCUCAGAGGUGAGGAACAAUGUCUUCAAUUUGUUUCACUGAUACAAUGCCUGAGUACAUGCCUUCUACUUACUUUUUAAAAAAGUUAACUGUAAAAUAGCCUGAGGCAGGUCCUUCAAGAGGUAUUCCAGAAGGCAUUGUUGCCAGAAGAGAUGACAGCUCUAUGUGUGUUACUGCCCUUGAAGACCUUCCUGUGGGACAAGAUGUGGAGGGCGACUGAAACUUGUUUGUCCACCUGGUGGGACUCUGCAAAUCCUGCCUACAAUAACCCAGGCAAACCUCUAGGUGUCCUCAUUGACCAAGCUCCAGAAUUGCAGGCCAGAGAAAACUAUUUUUAGAAAAGGUUUUCUCAAAUAGUUGUGUGACAUGGGAGUGCACACUUAUGAAAAAUAUAGCAGUGUCAAGUGUCUGUGUGAGCUGGUGGUAAUAACUCCAAAGUAAAAUAAAUCUGCUAGCGUAUGUGAUUUUCUCUAUGAAUAUUCAGUGCCUUGGCUACAGGUUGAUCGCUGGAUUUUGAUACAGUUCUAAAGGACUGAGCUUUUGAUUGGCUGCAAAUAGAAUUGACGGUUAGAUGGAUUCUUGACCAAUUUUAUGUAGAUGUGAUGGAACCCAAAUGUUGGUUUUGAAAGUCCUUAAAAAUGUGUCCGUUUCACCAAAAUUAUAACAGAUUUCUAAAUAAAUAAAAAAAGAAAGAAAAGGUUUUCUCAGGUGUGUUCUUCCAGGGGAGUUUCUGUACAUUCUGUGCGUGCUUUGGUCUGCUUUAGAACAGACCAAACGGGGCCUGUUCUAGAAUGUUCUCAGUCUGAAGAAAGGCUCUGGGUUUGAGCAGGGCCAGCUUCUCUGUGGAUGGGAAGGAUAAGACACCCAUUUGCUCAGCCUACAAUC
Callithrix jacchus (white-tufted-ear marmoset) is the source of this 1077-nucleotide long non-coding RNA. RefSeq lists it as uncharacterized. The record is from RefSeq and is a predicted model, not a curated record. NCBI's taxonomy places the organism in Eukaryota, Metazoa, Chordata, Mammalia, Primates, Cebidae.